UGUGAUGUAGACUGAUAAGUGCUUGGUCAGG
Molecule: non-coding RNA, 31 nt
Filed under: Rattus norvegicus (Norway rat)
Lineage: Eukaryota; Metazoa; Chordata; Mammalia; Rodentia; Muridae
Source: RNAcentral